AUGAACGCUGGCGGCGUGCCUAAUACAUGCAAGUCGAGCGAACGGACGAGAAGCUUGCUUCUCUGAUGUUAGCGGCGGACGGGUGAGUAACACGUGGAUAACCUACCUAUAAGACUGGGAUACUUCGGGAAACCGUAGCUAAUACCGGAUAAUAUUUUGAACCGCAUGGUUCAAAAGUGAAAGACGGUCUUGCUGUCACUUAUAGAUGGAUCCGCGCUGCAUUAGCUAGUUGGUAAGGUAACGGCUUACCAAGGCAACGAUGCAUAGCCGACCUGAGAGGGUGAUCGGCCACACUGGAACUGAGACACGGUCCAGACUCCUACGGGAGGCAGCAGUAGGGAAUCUUCCGCAAUGGGCGAAAGCCUGACGGAGCAACGCCGCGUGAGUGAUGAAGGUCUUCGGAUCGUAAAACUCUGUUAUUAGGGAAGAACAUAUGUGUAAGUAACUGUGCACAUCUUGACGGUACCUAAUCAGAAAGCCACGGCUAACUACGUG
This 495-nucleotide ribosomal RNA is filed under the name uncultured bacterium. RNAcentral describes it as "partial 16S ribosomal RNA". It matches the Rfam family "Bacterial small subunit ribosomal RNA", at positions 29 to 507 of the family's 1533-position model. The record is from RNAcentral.